GUGAAAAUAGGGACAUUUAAUUUGAUUUAUUUUUUUUCGUGACCAAAUAUUUAAAAGAAGGACAGGUGCCAACUCUAAUUUGAACCAGUUAUUUGUUUUAGCAAAAUAUUCACAGACUGCAACAGUCUAAUGCCAGUUAUCAUUAUCAGGCUAGCAUCAACAGAACAUGGUUAAAGGCUGAUAUGGCACCAAUCUAACCCUAGGUAGCAGAAUCACAACAACAUCCUCAGAAAAUUAGAAAGAUAAAUUAAUCUGAUACUAAUUAUCAGCAUCAACAUAAUAUUCACAGAAAAUGCUGCACUGGAUGUCCGAGAAGGCACCAGUCUGAAACCAGCUAAGCGGUACUGAGCCUCAGUUGAUUUUUAAAAAAAACGGCAGCAGACUGAGACCAGGUAGAGCUAUCAGGCCAAUUUCUCCAUAAAAUGUUGGAUCAAAUGUCUGACAUGGCAACAAUCUGACACCAGUUAGUAAUAUCAAGCCAAUUUCCACAGAAAAUGCUGGAUAAGAUGUCCAACAUGGCACCAAACAAAUACCAGUCAUUAGCACUGAGCCAAUAUUCACAGACAAUGCUGGUUCAGAUGUUUGAGAUAAUACUCUGGCAAAAAUCUGAUACCAGGUAGUAGUAGAGUCGACAUCCACAGUAAACGCUAGAUUGAAAGUCUAGAUAGCAUUAUCAGACUGAUUCACACAGACAAAAGCUGGAUCAGGUUUAUAAAAUGAUAAAUGUUUAUUUUUAAAUUUGCUUAUUUAAAGAGAACAAACUAAAUCAGUAUCAGACACUCAAGAAACGUUCAAAAGGCAGCAUAUGAUCCUUAAAGGGCAGCAUCCUUAUUUUACCUCAAUUCUGAAGCAGUGUGAGAUGUAUCCUUGAAGGCGAAGGCAAUCCCAUGAUGCAUUUCACCAGCUCACAGUUCCAGUGCUCAGGUUUAAAAACAUGCUGGAAAGGAGUUGGCACUGUGGGGGAGUUUCUGUACAAAUGCAAAUGGAUGAAUGUGAUUACCGGGCCAGAGAAGAGGCUCUAAUAACAGGGAAGAUGAACCCUGGUCAGACUGGCUAGAGGCAGUGUUAGCUCCUUUUUGAAAGAGUAUUUUUUUCCCUUUGCAUUUAAUAAAGUUUUCUUUGUUAACA
RNAcentral lists this long non-coding RNA (1128 nucleotides) under Astyanax mexicanus (Mexican tetra). RNAcentral's name for it is "lncRNA (ENSAMXG00005004537.1)". Lineage: Eukaryota; Metazoa; Chordata; Actinopteri; Characiformes; Acestrorhamphidae. The record is from RNAcentral.